This 253-nucleotide ribosomal RNA is filed under the name uncultured bacterium. RNAcentral's name for it is "partial 16S ribosomal RNA". It matches the Rfam family "Bacterial small subunit ribosomal RNA", at positions 524 to 776 of the family's 1533-position model. The record is from RNAcentral.
UACGGAGGGUGCAAGCAUUGAUCGGAAUUACUGGGCGUAAAGGGCGCGUAGGCGGCUUUGUAAGUCGGACGUGAAAUUCCGGGGCUCAACCCCGGAGCUGCGUUUGAAACUGCAAGACUAGAGUACAGUUAGGGUAAACGGAAUUCCACGUGUAGCGGUGAAAUGCGUAGAUAUGUGGAAGAACACCGGUGGUGAAGACGGUUUACUGGGCUGAGACUGACGCUGAGGCGCGAAAGCAUGGGGAGCAAACAGG